This 304-nucleotide ribosomal RNA is filed under the name uncultured bacterium. RNAcentral describes it as "partial 16S ribosomal RNA". It matches the Rfam family "Bacterial small subunit ribosomal RNA", at positions 509 to 807 of the family's 1533-position model. The record is from RNAcentral.
CAGCAGUCGCCGCGGUAAUACGAAGGGUGCAAGCGUUACUCGGAAUUACUGGGCGUAAAGCGUGCGUAGGUGGUGGUUUAAGUCCGUUGUGAAAGCCCUGGGCUCAACCUGGGAAUUGCAGUGGAUACUGGGUCACUAGAGUGUGGUAGAGGAUAGUGGAAUUUCCGGUGUAGCAGUGAAAUGCGUAGAGAUCGGAAGGAACAUCUGUGGCGAAGGCGACUAUCUGGGCCAACACUGACACUGAGGCACGAAAGCGUGGGGAGCAAACAGGAUUAGAGACCCCCGUAGUCCCUGUCUCUUAUAC